UGAGGAUUUCCAAGGUAGCUAGGAUAUUGCCACGUGCACUGACCCGGAGGUGAUUCAAAACCGGCUUCGACUCGACCAACACAUGCUUUUGGGUUGGCGGCAUUUAUCAGGCACUCAAAGAAGUCUAACCGUGAUCUGACCUAACCAAGACUUUUUACUCGGAAGAAACUAAACAGGUUCUGAGGAUCCUUUUGGUUUUGGUGGGAGCCCUGUAGGUCGAUCAAAUUAUAGGAUAAUUUAAAAAAUAAUUUUUAUUAU
This 258-nucleotide long non-coding RNA is filed under the name Elaeis guineensis (African oil palm). RNAcentral's name for it is "long non-coding RNA (EGUI_LNC026125)". The record is from RNAcentral. Lineage: Eukaryota; Viridiplantae; Streptophyta; Magnoliopsida; Arecales; Arecaceae.